GAUCCUGGCUCAGGAUGAACGCUGGCGGCGUGCCUAACACAUGCAAGUCGAACGGACUUAACCUGAAACCUAGUGAAGGUUAGGUUAGUGGCGGACGGGUGAGUAACGCGUGGACAACCUGCCGCAUGCAGGGGGAUAACAGUUGGAAACAGCUGCUAAUACCGCAUAAGCGCACAGUGCCGCAUGGCACGGUGUGAAAAGAAAUUCGGCAUGCGAUGGAUCCGCGUCCGAUUAGCCAGUUGGCGGGGUAACGGCCCACCAAAGCGACGAUCGGUAGCCGGCCUGAGAGGGCGGACGGCCACAUUGGGACUGAGACACGGCCCAAACUCCUACGGGAGGCAGCAGUGGGGAAUAUUGCACAAUGGGGGGAACCCUGAUGCAGCGACGCCGCGUGGGUGAAGAAGUCAUUCGUGACGUAAAGCCCUAUCAGCAGGGAAGAAAAUGACGGUACCUGACUAAGAAGCCCCGGCUAACUACGUGCCAGCAGCCGCGGUAAUACGUAGGGGGCAAGCGUUAUCCGGAUUUACUGGGUGUAAAGGGAGCGUAGACGGCGGCGCAAGUCCGGAGUGAAAGCCCACGGCCCAACCGUGGGACUGCUCUGGAAACUGUGCGGCUUGAGUGCGGGAGGGGCAGGCGGAAUUCCUAGUGUAGCGGUGAAAUGCGUAAAUAUUANGAGGAACACCGGCGGCGAAAGCNGCUU
Molecule: ribosomal RNA, 700 nt
Filed under: uncultured bacterium
Lineage: Bacteria
Description: bacterial SSU rRNA
Rfam family: Bacterial small subunit ribosomal RNA
Source: RNAcentral